Strigops habroptila (Kakapo) is the source of this 1095-nucleotide long non-coding RNA. RefSeq lists it as uncharacterized. The transcript has 2 exons. NCBI's taxonomy places the organism in Eukaryota, Metazoa, Chordata, Aves, Psittaciformes, Psittacidae. The record is from RefSeq and is a predicted model, not a curated record.
GACAGCUCUGCCUGGCAGAGGGUGAGUGUGGGCAGCCAGUGGGGCUGUGCCAAGGAGGGAGCUGCUUUCCACUUGGAUUACGUACCUAGAAGGUCAAAACUGGUUCUGGAUACAAAUUUCCCUGUGAGGCUAGAUGAUAUUUUGAGCAAACUAAAGACCUGAACUGAGUUACGCUGGACUGCUUGAGCAGGAGGCUUCGUACAGGUAGAGAGAGCUGUCUGUCUCAGCAGAGUUUGCUUUAAGCCUCCUUGUGCUCCUGUGCAACCCUUGUGCUUAAAGCUGGUGGGUGCAAAUCAUCCUGUGUAAACAUAAAGAAGGCAGUACGUUGCUUCUGUGAGCAGCGGAGCCCACUGCAGCAUACAGGCUCAAGGCAAGCCUUAAUUAGAAGCUGAACUGUGUGUGGACCCAGGGAUUUCCCUGGGGACGCAUGUGGCAAACGCAGGGGCUAAUGCACUGAGUGCUGCAGCUGUGUGUCUGCGCUAGCAGGGGAGCUGCCAGGGGAGGAAGCAGGAAAUACUAGACAAUACUAAGAGCAUAAUUCUGAGAGAAAAAAAAAGCCAACAAAGCAACAGAAGACGAACUUUGGGCUGGGUGCUUCCUGAAAAAGCCCUGGGAUUGCCGGCUGAGGGACUAUCUCAAGAAAAAAAGAGCAACUGGGACAACAUUUACGCAUAAGAGGUGGUGCCAGCUCCAUUCCCUGCUCACAGCUACUCCAUUGCUACUUCAUGGGAAAGACAAGCUCUCGCUGGAGCAUGAUCCGAAGCCCUGGACACUUCUCUCCCCAGAUGAGCGCUCCUUUUCCUUCACUGUCUUUCACAAUCUCCUGAGGAUACUGAAUGUUUACAAGAGGUCAAAAGUGAAUGGAUGGAAAAGCCAAUCUAUUAAAUCUAUUAAAUAUAAAGACACCACUCAGGAAUUGCCUGAGCCAAAGAUUACUGGCUGUUGAGAAGAUAUUUGGUGGAAAUACCACUUCACGCUUUCCUGUUCCUAUAUAUUUUCCCAAGCACCUGCUUUUGGCCACUGUAGGAGACAAAAUACUAGGCUAGAUGGGCUUUCAGCAAUAUAUCUAUAAAAUAUAAAAUAUAUUUACAUUUA